Molecule: ribosomal RNA, 398 nt
Filed under: uncultured bacterium
Lineage: Bacteria
Description: partial 16S ribosomal RNA
Rfam family: Bacterial small subunit ribosomal RNA
Source: RNAcentral
GAAUCUUGCGCAAUGGGCGAAAGCCUGACGCAGCCAUGCAGCGUGCUUGAUGAAUGUCUUAGGAUUGUAAUAUUCUUUCUCCGGGGAUGAUAAUGAAGGUACCCGGAGAACAAGCCUCGGUUACCUUCGUGCCCGCAGCAGCGGUAGUACGAAGGGGGCUAGCGUUGCUCGGAAUUACUGGGGGUAAAGGGCGCGUAGGCGGAUCGUUAAGUCAGAGGUGAAAUCCCGGAGCUCAACGUCGGAAUGGCCUGUGAUACUGGCGAUCUUGAGAGUGAGAGAGGUAUGUGGAACUCCGAGUGUAGAGGUGAAAGUCGUAGAUAUUCGGAAGAACACCAGUGGCGAAGGCGACAUACUGGCUCAUUACUGACGCUGAGGCGCGAAAGCGUGGGGAGCAAACA